This 408-nucleotide ribosomal RNA is filed under the name uncultured bacterium. Its description in RNAcentral is "bacterial SSU rRNA". It matches the Rfam family "Bacterial small subunit ribosomal RNA", at positions 355 to 775 of the family's 1533-position model. The record is from RNAcentral.
UGGGGAAUAUUGCACAAUGGGCGCAAGCCUGAUGCAGCGACGCCGCGUGAGGGAUGACGGCCUUCGGGUUGUAAACCUCUUUCACCAGGGACGAAGCGAAAGUGACGGUACCUGGAGAAGAAGCACCGGCCAACUACGUGCCAGCAGCCGCGGUAAUACGUAGGGUGCGAGCGUUGUCCGGAAUUACUGGGCGUAAAGAGUUCGUAGGCGGUUUGUCGCGUCGUUCGUGAAAACUUGGGGCUUAACUCCAAGCGUGCGGGCGAUACGGGCAGACUUGAGUACUACAGGGGAGACUGGAAUUCCUGGUGUAGCGGUGAAAUGCGCAGAUAUCAGGAGGAACACCGGUGGCGAAGGCGGGUCUCUGGGUAGUAACUGACGCUGAGGAACGAAAGCGUGGGUAGCGAACAG